AUCUAAGUACCCCGAGGAAAAGAAAUCAACCGAGAUUCCCCCAGUAGCGGCGAGCGAACGGGGAGGAGCCCAGAGCCUGAAUCAGCAUGUGUGUUAGUGGAAGCGUCUGGAAAGGCGCGCGAUACAGGGUGACAGCCCCGUACACAAAAGCGCAUGUGCUGUGAGCUCGAUGAGUAGGGCGGGACACGUGGUAUCCUGUCUGAAUAUGGGGGGACCAUCCUCCAAGGCUAAAUACUCCUGACUGACCGAUAGUGAACCAGUACCGUGAGGGAAAGGCGAAAAGAACCCCGGCGAGGGGAGUGAAAAAGAACCUGAAACCGUGUACGUACAAGCAGUGGGAGCCCCACCACCAAAGCAUUCUCUGGUGUUGAAGGCCCUGCAAAGCAGCAUCGCGGUGGCGGAGCGUCGUUUGCGACGCCCAACACACAAAACAAGCGGUGAAUGCUUUGGGGUGG
Molecule: ribosomal RNA, 455 nt
Filed under: Salmonella enterica subsp. enterica serovar Typhimurium
Lineage: Bacteria; Pseudomonadati; Pseudomonadota; Gammaproteobacteria; Enterobacterales; Enterobacteriaceae
Description: partial 23S ribosomal RNA
Rfam family: Bacterial large subunit ribosomal RNA
Source: RNAcentral